Lycium barbarum (goji berry) is the source of this 816-nucleotide long non-coding RNA. RefSeq lists it as uncharacterized. The record is from RefSeq and is a predicted model, not a curated record. Lineage: Eukaryota; Viridiplantae; Streptophyta; Magnoliopsida; Solanales; Solanaceae. The transcript has 3 exons.
AGCGUAUACAAAUUGUAUGAGCGCUAAAUGUUUAUAAAUAGCUUAUAUGUGUUAUAUACAGUGUAAAUACAACUUUCAUACAAUAUAUAUAUGUUACGUCCCGUAUUUUUAUACAUUGGGACAACCCGGAUUAACUAUGAUAAAUUAAGGCCAAGACUAUUCCGGGAUUUGAAGUCGGGACUUUUGACCUUUGAUUUUAUUUUGAGACAUAAGUUGUGUAUGAAAUUGUUAGCUUGAACACUUAGGAAAAAUUGGGACCAUAAUUCAUAAAUUUGGAAAUUAAAACUCUUGCAAAAAAAAAAAAAAAAAAAAAAGGAAGAUGUGUGGAUUGAAGUGGUCCCCACACAUUGUUGUGGCCAAUUUUAAUUGGUCCAACACAUGUGUGGGCCCAAAGACAAUAAGAGAUAUUUUAAGGGGACUUAAAAGAUGACCACUUAGUCAUCUUUCUCUCAUUUCACAUUCCCACACUUAGAAAAUAAAGCAAGAAGUUGAGGAACCAAAACCAUGGCUCACGGCCAAGACCAUGGAAAACCAAAUCCAAAUCAAGCCCCUCUAAAAAUAUUUCUUGGGUACAAAUCAACUAAUUAGAGGUCCCUAAGUAACUUGGAAGCAUUGUUGGAGUGAUCAAGUCUUUCAUUUAAGAGAUUUGCAAACCCUAGCCUAUUGGUGGAUUGAAGAAGAAAGACCUUGGGGAGCCCGAGGCGUGGAUUGGAAAUUUACUUUAGAUUGACUAUUUUGGAAGUGCGUACGAGGUACAGACGCACAGCCUGGUGAUCCACCUGUUUAGGACACCCUUUCUGCUAUUCGGAGUGCUCC